This 1323-nucleotide ribosomal RNA is filed under the name Brinjal little leaf phytoplasma. RNAcentral describes it as "bacterial SSU rRNA". It matches the Rfam family "Bacterial small subunit ribosomal RNA", at positions 114 to 1435 of the family's 1533-position model. The record is from RNAcentral. Lineage: Bacteria; Bacillati; Mycoplasmatota; Mollicutes; Acholeplasmatales; Acholeplasmataceae.
CACGUAAGUAACCUGCCUUUAAGACGAGGAUAACAACCGGAAGGUUACUAAGACUGGAUAGGAAACAAAAAGGCAUCUUUUUGUUUUUAAAAGACCUUCUUACGAAGGUAUGCUUAAAGAGGGGCUUGCGCCACAUUAGUUAGUUGGUAGAGUAAAAGCCUACCAAGACGAUGAUGUGUAGCUGGACUGAGAGGUUGAACAGCCACAUUGGGACUGAGACACGGCCCAAACUCCUACGGGAGGCAGCAGUAGGGAAUUUUCGGCAAUGGAGGAAACUCUGACCGAGCAACGCCGCGUGAACGAUGAAGUAUUUCGGUAUGUAAAGUUCUUUUAUUGAAGAAGAAAAAGUAGUGGAAAAACUAUAUUGACGUUAUUCAAUGAAUAAGCCCCGGCUAACUAUGUGCCAGCAGCCGCGGUAAGACAUAGGGGGCGAGCGUUAUCCGGAAUUAUUGGGCGUAAAGGGUGCGUAGGCUGUUAGAUAAGUCUAUAAUUUAAUUUCAGUGCUUAACGCUGUCUUGUUAUAGAAACUGUCUUGACUAGAGUGAGAUAGAGGCAAGCGGAAUUCCAUGUGUAGCGGUAAAAUGUGUAAAUAUAUGGAGGAACACCAGAAGCGUAGGCGGCUUGCUGGGUCUUUACUGACGCUGAGGCACGAAAGCGUGGGUAGCAAACAGGAUUAGAUACCCUGGUAGUCCACGCCGUAAACGAUGAGUACUAAGUGUCGGGGUAAAACUCGGUACUGAAGUUAACACAUUAAGUACUCCGCCUGAGUAGUACGUACGCAAGUAUGAAACUUAAAGGAAUUGACGGGACUCCGCACAAGCGGUGGAUCAUGUUGUUUAAUUCGAAGAUACACGAAAAAUCUUACCAGGUCUUGACAUACUCUGCAAAGCUAUAGAAAUAUAGUGGAGGUUAUCAGGGAUACAGGUGGUGCAUGGUUGUCGUCAGUUCGUGUCGUGAGAUGUUAGGUUAAGUCCUAAAACGAACGCAACCCUUGUCGUUAAUUGCCAGCACAUAAUGGUGGGGACUUUAACGAGACUGCCAAUUAAACAUUGGAGGAAGGUGAGGAUUACGUCAAAUCAUCAUGCCCCUUAUGAUCUGGGCUACAAACGUGAUACAAUGGCUGUGACAAAGAGUAGCUGAAACGCGAGUUUUUAGCCAAUCUCAAAAAAGCAGUCUCAGUUCGGAUUGAAGUCUGUAACUCGACUUCAUGAAGUUGGAAUCGCUAGUAAUCGCGAAUCAGCAUGUCGCGGUGAAUACGUUCUCGGGGUUUGUACACACCGCCCGUCAAACCACGAAAGUUAGCAAUGCCCGAAAGCAGUAGCU